This 507-nucleotide ribosomal RNA is filed under the name uncultured fungus. RNAcentral's name for it is "eukaryotic LSU rRNA". The stretch from base 93 to 246 matches the Rfam family "5.8S ribosomal RNA". The record is from RNAcentral. Lineage: Eukaryota; Fungi.
CGGGGGGUUCACGCCCCCGGGCCCGCGCCCGCCGAAGACCCCUGGAACGCUGCCUGGAAGGUUGCCGUCUGAGUAUACAAUCAAUCAAUUAAAACUUUCAACAACGGAUCUCUUGGUUCCGGCAUCGAUGAAGAACGCAGCGAAAUGCGAUAAGUAAUGUGAAUUGCAGAAUUCCGUGAAUCAUCGAAUCUUUGAACGCACAUUGCGCCCCCUGGCAUUCCGGGGGGCAUGCCUGUCCGAGCGUCAUUGCUAACCCUCCAGCCCGGCUGGUGUGUUGGGCCGCCGUCCCCCCUCCCCGGGGGACGGGCCCGAAAGGCAGCGGCGGCGUCGCGUCCGGUCCUCGAGCGUAUGGGGCUCUGUCACACGCUUCAGUAGAACCGGCCGGCUUGCUGGCCAUCACCUAUAUUUUUCUCUUAGGUUGACCUCGGAUCAGGUAGGGAUACCCGCUGAACUUAAGCAUAUCAAUAAGCGGAGGAAAAGAAACCAACAGGGAUUGCCUCAGUAACG